RNAcentral lists this small RNA (749 nucleotides) under Pan troglodytes (chimpanzee). RNAcentral describes it as "processed transcript". Lineage: Eukaryota; Metazoa; Chordata; Mammalia; Primates; Hominidae. The record is from RNAcentral.
GUUGCAUUCAGGGAAUGAUAAUUUGAUUUCCUACUGUUGCACCUGUUCUUUCUAAUGUAGGAAUACUAGAUCUGAGGAAUAGGAAAGCCAGUACCAGUCCAGUUUUAUUCUGAUUAGGAGUGCUUUUAUUAUAAAAGCAGCACAUUAGAGAGCUCUAGGGUUUUUCAGUGUUGAAAUCCUGUAGUCACAUUACUUUAGGAAGAGGUGAGUGAUCUUAGGAAAUGUGGAAACAUGACAGGGCAUACCUGAAACACACUAAGUCUGUACUUUGGGAAGGGCAGAAGUUAAGAAUUAAUCUAACUACUACUCCAACUGUCUUAGGUACUGAAGAAGACCUGGAAUUCUAUGUCAGGAAGUGUGGUGAUAUUCUUGGAGUAACCAGUAAACUACCAAAGGACCAACAGGAUGCCAAACAUAUCCUUGAGCACGUCUUCUUCCAAGUGGUGGAGUUCAAGAAAUUGAACCAGGAACAUGACAUCGAUACAAGUGAAACAGCAUUCCAGAACAAUUUCUGAAGACCAUGCCUCUUGAAGCUUUUUCUGCCUCCUGAUUCUCUCUUUGUAAACUAUUUUCAAAUUGUUUUUCAACUCCUUAUCAAAAUUGUUUAUACAGUCUUUCCUCCAUGAGCUCUGGAAGGUAUAUGCAUCUUCUGUAAUACUCAGAUAGGUAUAAGAUUUUUCACAAAAUCCUUAUGUAAGAUACAUUCCAUUUUUAAAAAUUAAAUGUAUGGUUGCAUCUGUCUUUUUAUA